Molecule: ribosomal RNA, 307 nt
Filed under: uncultured Anaeroplasmataceae bacterium
Lineage: Bacteria; Bacillati; Mycoplasmatota; Mollicutes; Anaeroplasmatales; Anaeroplasmataceae
Description: bacterial SSU rRNA
Rfam family: Bacterial small subunit ribosomal RNA
Source: RNAcentral
GAUGAACGCUGGCGGCGUGCCUAAUACAUGCAAGUCGAACGAGGUAGCAAUACCGAGUGGCGAACGGGUGAGUAACACGUAGGUAACCUGCCCUUAAGCUUGGGAUACCCAGAGGAAACUUUGGCUAAUACCGGAUAACAACAGAGAAGGCAUCUUCUUUGCUUGAAAGGCCCCUUCAAGGGUCACUUAAGGAUGGACCUGCGGCGCAUUAGCUAGUUGGUGAGAUAACAGCCCACCAAGGCGAGGAUGCGUAGCCGAACUGAGAGGUUGAUCGGCCACAUUGGAACUGAGACACGGUCCAAACUCC